Molecule: ribosomal RNA, 301 nt
Filed under: uncultured bacterium
Lineage: Bacteria
Description: partial 16S ribosomal RNA
Rfam family: Bacterial small subunit ribosomal RNA
Source: RNAcentral
CAGCAGCCGCGGUAAUACGUAGGUCCCGAGCGUUGUCCGGAUUUAUUGGGCGUAAAGCGAGCGCAGGCGGUUAGAUAAGUCUGAAGUUAAAGGCUGUGGCUUAACCAUAGUACGCUUUGGAAACUGUUUAACUUGAGUGCAAGAGGGGAGAGUGGAAUUCCAUGUGUAGCGGUGAAAUGCGUAGAUAUAUGGUGGAACACCGGUGGCAAAAGCGGCUCUCUGGCUUGUAACUGACGCUGAGGCUCGAAAGCGUGGGGAGCAAACAGGAUUAGAUACCCGCGUAGUCCCUGUCUCUUAUACA